UGUGGUGGCGAUAGCAAGAAGGAUACACCUGUUCCCAUAUCGAACACAGUAGUUAAGCUUCUUAGCGCCGAUGGUAGUGGGGG
RNAcentral lists this ribosomal RNA (83 nucleotides) under Vagococcus lutrae. The record is from RNAcentral. Lineage: Bacteria; Bacillati; Bacillota; Bacilli; Lactobacillales; Enterococcaceae.